AGUAAGGUGUCUGAUUUAAGUAUUAAACUGUAAAUUUAAUUAAAAGUAUAAAAAUACUUCCUUCCUA
This 67-nucleotide transfer RNA is filed under the name Lipothrix lubbocki. RNAcentral's name for it is "tRNA-Tyr". The record is from RNAcentral. Lineage: Eukaryota; Metazoa; Arthropoda; Collembola; Symphypleona; Sminthuridae.